UGAUGAUGUUAAGUACUUUCCAACUUUUAUUAGCCCACCUGAAUAUAUAUUUGAGAGCAUUACAAUCUCAGGUGCAGCCGUGGAAAACGCGCAUUGGACAGCCAUGUCCACAACGGGGAUGUAGCUCAGUGGUAGAGCGCUCGCUUUGCAUGUGAGAGGCCCCGGGUUCAAUCCCCGGCAUCUCCAAGUCAAUUUUUUGUCUUUAUUUCAUUUUUUUGAACUUGAAAUAUAUUUUUAGAGCACAUCGUAGCUCUAAACACAUCGCAAAGACGGAGUUGUUUGCUCCGUGUGGCUGGCUGCCUGUGUGUGGC
Molecule: transfer RNA, 311 nt
Filed under: Drosophila guanche
Lineage: Eukaryota; Metazoa; Arthropoda; Insecta; Diptera; Drosophilidae
Rfam family: tRNA (bases 115-186)
Source: RNAcentral